CUUCUUCUUCUUCUUCUUUCUCUCUUUCUUUCCAACCAUCUUCUCACCAGCCUCGCCGUCUCCUCUCCUUUGCUCCCAACUUCAACGCCCAUAUCAGGCGAAACUCAAAACCCAAGGUUUUCCUUUUGCGUGCUUUCAUGGGUUAUAAACACAAAUUCCUACUGUUUAAUCUCUGUUAAUUUCGUUUGGGCAGGUUUUGAAGGUCCAUUGUUCCACAAGUGAACCAUUGAAGGUCAUGAUAUCAGGAGCACCGGCAUCCGGGAAAGGCACUCAGUGCGAGCUAAUGGUGAACAAGUUUGGAUUGGUGCACAUAUCAACGGGUGAUCUACUGAGGGCUGAAGUAUCUGCGGGGACAGAUAUUGGAGAAAAAGCUAAAGAGUUCAUGAAUGCUGGUCGUCUGGUUCCUGAUGAAAUUGUGGCAGCUAUGGUGACAGCACGAUUAUCUCGUGAAGAUGUAAAGCAAAAAGGGUGGCUAUUAGACGGGUAUCCACGAAGUUUGGCCCAAGCAGAAAGUUUGGAAAAAUUGAAGAUUAGACCAGAUGUUUAUGUUGUGUUGGAUGUUCCUGAUGAAAUUCUGAUCGACAGAUGUGUUGGAAGAAGACUAGACCCAGUGACAGGGAAGAUUUACCACAUUAAAAAUUUCGCUCCAGAGACUGAGGAGAUCAAAGCAAGACUUAUAACCCGUCCGGAUGACACUGAGGAAAAAGUAAAGUCGCGUCUUGAAAUAUACAAGCAAAAUGUAGAAGCAAUUUUAUCCACUUAUUUGAACAUUAUGAAGACGAUUGAUGGAAGCCGCCCAAAAGAAGUAGUUUUUGAAGAAAUAUAUUCUUUGCUGUCUGAAGUGCAGAAAGAUAAAGUGAAAUUGAUUAAAUCUGGAAACGUAAAACCAGAAGGUGAGAGCAGUUCUAAUCAGGCACCAGUUUACCAGGAUAAAUGGAGAGGAAUUCCUACUAGAUUAAACAAUAUCCCUCAUUCCAGAGAAAUCCGGAAUUAUUUUUAUGAUGAUGUUCUGCAAGGCACACAGAGAGCUGUAAAUGAUGGAAGAAUACGAUUAAAGGUGGAGAUUGCCAUUCCAGAGCUGAACCCAGAGAUGGAUGUUUAUCGGAUAGGCACCUUGAUGGAACUGGUUCGAGUUCUUGCUCUUUCAUUUGCUGAUGAUGGAAAACGUGUCAAGGUUUGUGUUCAAGGGUCUAUGGGGCAAGGCGCGCUUGCUGGAAUGCCACUGCAACUUUCGGGUACUCGAAAGAUCUUGGAGUUUAUGGAUUGGGGGGAUUAUGGAGCUCUGGGAACGUUUAUCAAGAUUGGAUCUAUAGGUGCAAGAGAAGUUGAGGAACAGGAUGACAUCUUCAUAUUAGUAGCACCUCAAAAUGCAGUAGGGAAUUGCAUUAUAGAUGAUCUAAAGGCCAUGACAGAUUCUGCUGGGAAUCGACCAGUUAUUCUUGUUAAUCCAAGGCUGAAGGUCAAUAUCCUUAUCUAUUGUUUAGCUGAAUUUCUUAUCAUAGAAUGAUUUCCAUAUUAAGAAAGAAAAAGGGUACACCUAUCCUGCUUUUCAUAUAUGUACUUGAUGGCUGUGUGAACAGGAACAUAUUUAAUAUUAUAAUGUUGUUAGGACAUGGUACAGAGAGUACAAUUAAUGGACAUGCAUUACCAUACUAAACUUUGCACCAAUCCAGAUUUAGAUGGGGUCAACUACAAGAAUUGUUCUCCAUUUAAUGUUUGGGCCUUUGGGGCUAAACUCUUUACUAUCUAAUUUGCUGACGUGCUUGCUGCACAAAAUCUGGAUUACUUCUAAUUUAUUGUAGUCAUAUGGUGCCUUAUUGGUUGCAAGAUUUAGCUAUUUCAUCCAAAAUCAUUUUCUGUGAUUCAGCUGUCUUGCCUGCAUAAAUUGCGCAUUAAUGUUAUAGUUUUCUGUUUUAUUUCAUUUCUUUUACUCUUAGCUUUUCUGUUGAGCUUGCUUUAUCCAGAGGCUAGAGAUCAUGCGUUCAAAUUGCUAAAACAGCCUCCUUGCAAAUGCAAGGGAAAUUCUGUGUACGUCGUCCCAAGAGGCUACAAUGUAGGAGGCCUUGUGAAUUUGGACACCCUUUUCAUUUUCGUUUUCUUUUGUUUCCAUACAUAAUAAUUAGUCCUUCCUGUAGCAUCAGAUUAUGUUAUAGUCAAAAGUCCAAAACCCACUUUCUGUAAACGAAACUUGAAAUGGUUAGUUCUAUGAAUAUAUAACAUACUCUUUUGGUUCUCUUCAAUUUCAGGAUUUACCUGGUUCAAGUGGCAUAAUGCAAACAAUGGGCCGAGAAAAGAGACUGGAGUAUGCUGCUUCUUUUGAAAAUUGCUAUUCCUUCCGGCUUCUCUACUAUGCAGGAACUCAGUAUCCUAUCAUGGGAGCUCUUAGGAUGUCUUACCCAUACCGUUAUGAAAUAUAUAAGAGGGUGGAUCAACCUUCAGGUGGAGAAAAGUAUGAAAUCUUGUCAACAUUCAGUGAAAAGCCAAACAGUGAUGAUAUAAAUGAUGCCUUCUUGGGGAAACCAAGAAAUCAAGCUAAGAAAGCCUCAGGAUUUUGGGGCUUCUUGAGUGGUGUAUUUUAAGCAGAAAUGAAAAUGGUACGCAAAAUAUUAUCCAUGAUGGGCAAUUUUAAACUUUAGCAAGAAAAAUAAGAACCUGAGAUUCCCCCAAAUGCUGAGUUUCAGGAAUCUGUUGAGUACUACUACAGAAGCCUAAGAUACAAUUUGGUGAGCUGGUGACCGUGUUUUUUUUUUUUUUUUUUUU
This 2760-nucleotide unclassified non-coding RNA is filed under the name Hevea brasiliensis (rubber tree). The record is from RNAcentral. Lineage: Eukaryota; Viridiplantae; Streptophyta; Magnoliopsida; Malpighiales; Euphorbiaceae.